GCUUGCAUAGCUCUGUUGGUAGAUCAUGGGACUCUUAUUCUCAGGCCUGUGGGUUCAAGCACCUCUUUGGGCA
Podarcis lilfordi (Lilford's wall lizard) is the source of this 73-nucleotide non-coding RNA. The record is from the annotation of a GenBank genome assembly. Lineage: Eukaryota; Metazoa; Chordata; Lepidosauria; Squamata; Lacertidae.